This 2398-nucleotide long non-coding RNA is filed under the name Pan troglodytes (chimpanzee). RNAcentral's name for it is "long non-coding RNA NONPTRT006048". Lineage: Eukaryota; Metazoa; Chordata; Mammalia; Primates; Hominidae. The record is from RNAcentral.
GUCCCACCAGCACAACAGCAGCAAUGACCACGAAACCCACAACACAGCACCCAUUUAGAAGAUGAGAGAAGAUGGUUCUUCGUGGGCAAUCCCAAUAGAAUUGAGAAGAUUUUGAAAAGAUAAAGUGUAGCCAAAAGACAAACAAACCUGCUUAACUGAAGAUGAUCAGUUAGGAUACAGGGUGGUGACAAGAAAAUCAAACCUACAAACAAAUGGAAAACGCUUUGCCUUCUGAGAAGUUUCAGGCAGGAGCAGAGGAGAGAUUUAGUGGGAAAACGAACCUAGCAAAACACAUUUUAAAAUAGAAUGGUAGGCAAGUUUAUCAAUUCAAUUUACUUUGAGUCUAAUUUUUUUUGUGUUGGCAAAAAUCCUGCCCAAGGCAAUGUGAGAAAGAAGAGAGGGGGAGAGAGAGAGUAAGAGAGAGGGAAAGAAAGAGAAGGGAGGAAGGAAAGGCGGAAGAGAGAAAAAGAAAAAAGAGGGAGGAAGGAAGGAAGAAAGGAAGGAAAGAAGGAAGAGAGGAUGGAAGGAAGGGAGGGAGGGAAGUCCAAAUGGGAAAUAUCAGAUUGAAUGUAACAAAGCUAUCAAUAUUUGACAGAUUUUGACCUACAAAAAAGACGUCUUCAUAUGUUUCAGCCUAACAGUACUUAGUGACUUCCAAGCAGUUGGAUUUAGGACAUUUGCACGGACCCAUCUGUGUUAACUGGCUCGGAGUCCAAGCCAUGUGCAGACCGGUCUUUCCCUAAUUGCAUAAAGAUUUUUGUAUUGAGCACCUUUGAAAAUAGCUCUGGCUUCCCAAGGGGCAUCUUUUCUUGGUGCCUGUGACCUCUAAAGAGAAACACAAAUCACAGGCAGAGAAGUAGCUGUUUAAACAUCCUUUGAUUUCCCCUCGUCAUUUAGUAAAUGCAUUAAAUUAAGCUGCAGAUGUUUUGCUGUCAACACAACGCUGUAUUAUGGUGUGUUAUUUUCCUGAUAGAAACAUUUUAUAUACUGUAAAUAAACACAGUUUUGUUAAUUAGUUAAUGAAUUAUUUUUUAAUGCUCCAUUACGCUUUAGGGAAAAAAUAGCUCAAGCUAUUGAAAGUUCUCAUUUUUAAUAAACAGACCUUGUGGUAAAUAUAGAAUGCCUAAUAUCUGGCGAAAUGGUAGCACUUGCAGGAAUAAUUAUGGCACCAGCUCUCAGUUUUAAGUUAUUAUGUGCUGCUUAGAGUAUUUUAGGCUUGGAUUAAGGUUUGUUAGAAAUGCCCAGGAUUUACCAUAACAUCUUGAAGGGAGGGAGAUACUAGGGGUGUGCUUAUUUAUUUUAUAUUUUAUUUUUCUUGCAACAGGGAGGUGUUUUAAACAAAUGGCAGACAAAUUGAGAAAUCUGUACUUCAAGUCCAACUCAUCCUGAGAAAUGCCAGAAUUUUAGCAACAAAACAAACCCGCAAGUCUUCUUCGUUCUUGAGAGUCAUGCCGUUUUCCUCCAAACAAGGACGAAAGGCUCUUUGCUUGUGGAGUGUCUCAGUCUAGCAGUAGAUUGGAAAAAUGUCCAAGCAGGGGACUCGAGUUCUCUCCCGGAUGAGUUCAUUUCAAUAGUCACUGUGUUUCAUCGGAUGCAGCUGGUUACAUUUUUAAUAGGCAGAUGGCUAAUUUUACAGUUCCAAGCCAAUCUCUCAUUGGACAACAUCCAGAAAGCCCGUGGUAGGGUGAUGCCCAGCAGAAAGUUCAACAGGACACUUGGGGGGAACAUAUGCUAAUGUCAGCCCUUUUACUUAAAUGUCUUUAAAAAGAAUAUUCAGUGCUAAGCUGAGGGAUUUUCACAGACUCAAGCCUAACACCAGAUGGGUGGCCAGCUAUGAAGUCCUUAGGGCCUGAGCAAAUGCUCUUAAUCUGGCUUGGAUGGUCGGAGAAUCAAAUAGCACCAAACCGGUAAUCUCUGAGUGAUUUUUAAAAAUGACAAAGGUGUAUGCACUUGCAGAAAUGACCAGGCUAACUAGAGAAGCGAGUUUCUCUUAAUAGAAGCCCAUGGCGUUACUAAAGCCCUGUGGUCCUAUGAUUACCUCGGCAUCCCGACCUCCGUUUUGGGUGCCCCUCCCCAUCUGACCUUUAUGGAGUUACACGAAUGAAUGUCCGUUUACCUCCCCCCAGGUGACAGCCCCUCGCCUCCAGGGUCAGAGAGGGCGGAAUGUCUGUUGCAGUUAAGCAUCCUUAUUUUUAAACUGUUUGGAAAUCUCUCUCUCCAAGGAGAUGGCUAUUUAGACAUCUUAAUUAAAAGGGAAUUUGGAAAUAUCUCCCGUUUUGCAGCGCAUGUAAUCAAGCAUUUCUUUUUCUCUGCAGAAGGACUUUGGUUGCCUCUUCACAAAAGGCUUUGAAAUGUCCUAAAACAAUCCCCCGCAGCUCGGGGUGGGGGUAGGGGCGGG